CAGAUGUGAAAUGCCCGGGCUCAACCUUGGGAACUGCAUUUGUGACUGCAUGGCUAGAAGUGUGUCAGAGGGAGAGUAGAAUUCCACGUGUAGCAGUGAAAUGCGUAGAGAUGUGGAGGAAUACCGAUGGCGAAGGCAGCCCCUGGGAUAACACUGACGCUCAUGCACGAAAGCGUGGGGAGCAAACAGGAUUAGAUACCCUGGUAGUCCACGCCCUAAACGAUGUCUACUAGUUGUCGGGUCUUAAUUGACUUGGUAACGCAGCUAACGCGUGAAGUAGACCGCCUGGGGAGUACGGUCGCAAGAUUAAAACUCAAAGGAAUUGACGGGGACCCGCACAAGCGGUGGAUGAUGUGGAUUAAUUCGAUGCAACGCGAAAAACCUUACCUACCCUUGACAUGGCUGGAAUCCUUAAGAGAUUAGGGAGUGCUCGCAAGAGAACCAGUACACAGGUGCUGCAUGGCUGCCGUCAGCUCGUGUCGUGAGAUGUUGGGUUAAGUCCCGCAACGAGCGCAACCCUUGUCAUUAGUUGCUACGAAAGGGCACUCUAAUGAGACUGCCGGUGACAAACCGGAGGAAGGUGGGGAUGACGUCAAGUCCUCAUGGCCCUUAUGGGUAGGGCUUCACACGUCAUACAAUGGUACAUACAGAGGGCCGCCAACCCGCGAGGGGGAGCUAAUCCCAGAAAGUGUAUCGUAGUCCGGAUUGUAGUCUGCAACUCGACUGCAUGAAGUUGGAAUCGCUAGUAAUCGCGGAUCAGCAUGUCGCGGUGAAUACGUUCCCGGGUCUUGUACACACCGCCCGUCACACCAUGGGAGCGGGUUUCACCAGAAGUAGGUAGCUUAACCGUAAGGAGGGCGCUUACCACGGUGGGAUUCGUG
This 881-nucleotide ribosomal RNA is filed under the name uncultured bacterium. RNAcentral's name for it is "bacterial SSU rRNA". It matches the Rfam family "Bacterial small subunit ribosomal RNA", at positions 589 to 1473 of the family's 1533-position model. The record is from RNAcentral.